Molecule: ribosomal RNA, 484 nt
Filed under: uncultured bacterium
Lineage: Bacteria
Description: partial 16S ribosomal RNA
Rfam family: Bacterial small subunit ribosomal RNA
Source: RNAcentral
AUUGAACGCUGGCGGCAGGCCUAACACAUGCAAGUCGAGCGGAUGAAGGGUGCUUGCUCCUGGAUUCAGCGGCGGACGGGUGAGUAAUGCCUAGGAAUCUGCCUGGUAGUGGGGGAUAACGUCCGGAAACGGGCGCUAAUACCGCAUACGCGCUGAGGGAGAAAGUGGGGGAUCUUCGGACCUCACGCUCUCAGAUGAGCCUAGGGCGGAUUAGCUAGUUGGUGGGGUAAAGGCCUACCAAGGCGACGAUCCGUAACUGGUCUGAGAGGAUGAUCAGUCACACCGGAAAUGAGAAAAGGUCCAGACUCCUACGGGAGGGAGCAGUGGGGAAUAUUGGACAAUGGGCGAAAGCCUGAUCCAGCCAUGCCGCGUGUGUGAAGAAGGUCUUCGGAUUGUAAAGCACUUUAAGUUGGGAGGAAGGGCAGUAAGUUAAUACCUUGCUGUUUUGACGUUACCAACAGAAUAAGCACCGGCUAACUUCGUG